AGUGAACGCUGGCGGUAGGCCUAACACAUGCAAGUCGAACGGCAGCACAGUAAGAGCUUGCUCUUACGGGUGGCGAGUGGCGGACGGGUGAGGAAUACAUCGGAAUCUACUUUUUCGUGGGGGAUAACGUAGGGAAACUUACGCUAAUACCGCAUACGACCUACGGGUGAAAGCAGGGGAUCUUCGGACCUUGCGCGAUUGAAUGAGCCGAUGUCGGAUUAGCUAGUUGGCGGGGUAAAGGCCCACCAAGGCGACGAUCCGUAGCUGGUCUGAGAGGAUGUACACCCACACGGAAACUGAGACACGGCCCAAACUCCUACGGGAGGCAGCAGGGGGAAAUAUUGGCCAAGGGGCGCAAGCCUGACCCAGCCAUACGGCGUGGUUGAAGAAGGCCUCCGGUUGGUAAAGCCCUUUUGUUGGAAAAAAAAGGAGGCAGGUUAAUACCCCGCGGUUCGAAGGGUACCCAAAGAGAAAGCACCGGCUAACUUCUU
RNAcentral lists this ribosomal RNA (491 nucleotides) under uncultured bacterium. RNAcentral describes it as "partial 16S ribosomal RNA". It matches the Rfam family "Bacterial small subunit ribosomal RNA", at positions 29 to 506 of the family's 1533-position model. The record is from RNAcentral.